This 1090-nucleotide non-coding RNA is filed under the name Plasmodium falciparum Tanzania (2000708). RNAcentral's name for it is "Eukaryotic large subunit ribosomal RNA". It matches the Rfam family "Eukaryotic large subunit ribosomal RNA", at positions 1426 to 2302 of the family's 3401-position model. The record is from Rfam by way of RNAcentral. Lineage: Eukaryota; Apicomplexa; Aconoidasida; Haemosporida; Plasmodiidae.
CGUGGAACAUCUCCCUAGUGCAGAUCUUGGUGGAAGUAGCAACUAUUCAAAUGAGAACUUUGAAGACUGAAGUGGAGAAGGGUUUCUUGUCAACUAUGUUUGUACAAGAGUUAGCCACUCCUAAGGGAUAGCUGAAAAGUGUUUAAAAGAAGUAAGAUAUUAUAUGGAAAUAUAUAAUUAGAUCUUCGUCUCAAAAGGGAAACAGGUUAAUAUUCCUGUGCCAAAUAGAAGUAAGGGUGUGAAUAAAGAAAGAUGGUAACAUACAUACAAAUGAACUCCUUGACAUAGGUUUUACGCUCGGGGUGCGUUAUCUUUGCACUUUAAUUUUAUAGCAAACCUUGGAAUCAAUUUAUUUGGAGAAGAGGUUUGUUGAACUCAAUUCAAAAAAUUUAUGGCUGGGUUUUCGGAUUCAGUUCAUUUUAUUUUUUGUUUUGUAGCAAUAGUAAUUCGUUUUUAUGAAUUAUCCGAAGUGGUAAAAACUAUCCUUGAAAAAAGGAGGGAACGGAGCAUAUACAGGAGGGAAUUUAAUUAUUUUUUUUUUUGAGUUACCUUCUUAUGUGAAAUACUCUUAUAUUCAAUCAAUAAUGAGUGUACCAAUAACCGCAUCAGGUCUCCAAGGUUAGUAGCCUCUGGUUAAAUAGAAAAAAGUAAGUAAGGGAAGUCGGCAAAAUAGAUCCGUAACUUCGGGAAAAGGAUUGGCUCUGAGGACAUUAGAAAAGAGAAGAAAAAAAAGGGGGUUGAAAAUAAAAUUACAGAUUUAUUUGCUUUAUCUUUUCGAUUUGGUUGUAAAUUUGUUUUUCGUUUUUCUUCUUUGUUUUUAUUCUGUUCCUGUUUUCGCUUUCAUUUUAUUGUAAUUUUAGUUACUUAAAUUUUUUGAUAUAUAUAAUGUUAACUCAGAACUGAAACGGACAAGGGGAAUCCGACUGUUUAAUUAAAACAUAGCAUUGUGAAAAACCACAACUGGUAUUAACACAAUGUGAUUUCUGCCCAGUGCUUUGAAUGUUAAGUUGAUGAAAAAUUCAAUUAAGCGCAGGUAAACGGCGGGAGUAACUAUGACUCUCUUAAGGUAGCCAAAUGCCUCGUCAUCUAA